This 77-nucleotide transfer RNA is filed under the name Bdellovibrionales bacterium. RNAcentral describes it as "tRNA-Pro". It matches the Rfam family "tRNA". Rfam says of the family: Transfer RNA (tRNA) molecules are approximately 80 nucleotides in length. Their secondary structure includes four short double-helical elements and three loops (D, anti-codon, and T loops). Lineage: Bacteria; Pseudomonadati; Bdellovibrionota; Bdellovibrionia; Bdellovibrionales. The record is from RNAcentral.
CGGGGUGUAGCGCAGUUGGCUAGCGCGCACGCAUGGGGUGCGUGAGGUCGUGGGUUCGAGUCCCGCCACUCCGACCA